Molecule: long non-coding RNA, 2273 nt
Filed under: Salvia miltiorrhiza (redroot sage)
Lineage: Eukaryota; Viridiplantae; Streptophyta; Magnoliopsida; Lamiales; Lamiaceae
Description: long non-coding RNA (SMIL_LNC010346)
Source: RNAcentral
UAAAAUUAUAUAUAACUAAUAACAACAAAUAUCGAAUUACACAAUCAAUUAGCACCAAUGUACGUUACAAUCAUCUCCAAUGUCUCGCACCAAGUUUCAACUAUCAAUAUAACAAAAGAAAGUCUAAUAUCAAGUUUCUAGGAAGACAAAAUGUAAUAUCAACUUUCAAAAUCAAAUGUUCUUGAAGCCUCAAUUUUUCAAUAACUAAAUAUGGUCUUCUUUCCUCUUUGCAUCCAAGUUAGCUUUGAUCAUAUUACCUGCAAAACAAAAUCUAUGUUGUAAGGAUCAACAAAUCUAAACUUAUUGACCUUGUCCAUUGAUGGAAGUAAAAUCUUGGACACAUGAGUUGAUUUAUGCAAAUAAACAUAUGUGGAAAAUAAAGCAUUCAAGUAAUUGAUCAGAGAGAAUUAAAUGCAAAGAAACUCAUUCAAGUCGAGAAUAUUUAACAAGAAUAAAAGUUUGAAUGAUAAUUUUCAAGCUCAAGAACCACUGUAUCAUUUCUUAUCCACAUUUGUGAUGGGAGGGGCCAAGCUGUUUGAUAGCAUUAGCCCCACACACACAAACACGCAAUACAUAAUAUACACACACGAAUUAUUGAAAUACUUUAUAGAAAUAUAGCUGGUUUAGCUCUCUUGAUUAGAGUUGGCAAAUAAGAAUAGCUUUCAACUUUUCAACUAGGACAAUUAAAUACAAAGUUGAUGCUAUAAGUAUUAGUACUACUUGUUAUGUUCAUAUUCACGCAGUCAAGUAAAGCUAGAGUUUUCUCUUUAGGGUCUGCUAUGUCACUUUCCUGGAAUUAAAUUCAAGAACAGCAAAGCAACCGAGAACGUGUGUGUGUAGCAUCUAGUUCAGCUCUAGCAUCACUUAUUUCCACCAAUUGAAUUCAGGCCAACCAUUAUAGAGUGUGAACUGUCUUCCAUUCUAGUCCACAUUCAACCAUUUUUAGUUCAUGUUUGAUGAAGAUAAUUGACCAGAAUACACCAAAUUAAUUUCCCACGAGGUAACAAAACUUCAACCGGAUAGUAUCCAAGAAUAUUUUCCACUGAGGCAUCAGUAGAUGAAUAACUUCUCCAAAACUUGUUCACGCACUAAUUAUACCACAAUACCCUGCAAUGUUUCAGUCUUCCUCCUCUCAUUGUUUCAGUCUUAUUCAGAGUCUCAGACUUCUUAACUUCAACAUUUUAGCAUCCAAAACAUUCUCAAAAUUGCAGAAUUAACCGAGUUACAACCUUAAUGAGGAGGCAUAAGUCGCAUACAUCUAGGCCAGCCUCUCUAAUUGAAGCACAUCCCGGAAAACUCUCUCUUUCUCUCUCGCACACACAAAACAAACAGGACUCUAUUCGGUAACAUUUUACCUCAAAAUCGAAAAAAUUAAAGAUGAACAUCCAAAGAGAAACCGGAAAUCUGAAAAAUAAACCUGCCAAUUGCGAGGAGCCCAUUUCCACAAUACAAGCAGCAACUUACCCAUUAAUGGAUACCUUUAAUUACGAAUUCUAGUCAGAGUCUUAAGCAUAAUAUUCAUAAAACUAAGCACAGCAAUAUCACGCACAGAGAAAGAGAAAGAAAAUUGAAAUUACUCAGCAGGGGAAGACAUGAUGAAUCUAGAAAACGAGUUCGAUCGAAAUCAAGCUAAACAUAAAACUAACCUCAAGGAGCAGCGGCUAAGUCGAGAACAGACCGGAAGAGCAGUGCACGUGCUGCCCUCCGAUUGAAGCAGCUAAUUCUGCUCCUGCCUCGUCUGGUGUACAGCAAGGUAAACCAGAGCAGCGUGGCAGCGACCGGAGAAAGCUUGACAGCAGCGUCGUUUCUGGAGUACAGCAGCAGCUCUAAGCAGCGGCGAAGUAUGGCGCUAAGGGGAUCAGAAAAACACUCAGAGUAGCGUCGUUUUUCGUUGCUUGCUGACCGGCGGAGAUUGUGGCGGCGGCGGCGGCGAGGAAACCUACGAUUUUAUGAUUGGAGAGAGGCGACAGAGGACGUGGUUUGUGGCUGCGUUGACUGUUGAUACGGCGGCAGCGCAAGGAACGAGUGGCGUUGGUCGGGGUGAGUCGGCGCCGGAGAGAUCGUAGGCGGCAGAUUUGGGAAGAAGAAGAUAGGUGGCAGAUUUGGGAAGAAGGUGGUAGGCGCGCGCACAUUUGGGGUUAAUUAGGGCUAAUGUGUUUGAACUCAAACUGACUUCUCUUCUUUUCAUUUUUUUUUNUAAUUCUGAAUAAGCCUUUAAAACCGGUUUAAAAACGGUUUAAUAUGUUUAAUUAAAAGGGCAAUGAUAAAUGGAC